This 357-nucleotide unclassified non-coding RNA is filed under the name soil metagenome. RNAcentral's name for it is "partial contains 5.8S ribosomal RNA, internal transcribed spacer 2, and large subunit ribosomal RNA". The stretch from base 1 to 120 matches the Rfam family "5.8S ribosomal RNA", at positions 35 to 154 of the family's 154-position model. The record is from RNAcentral.
GAUGAAGAACGCAGCGAAAUGCGAUAAGUAAUGUGAAUUGCAGAAUUCAGUGAAUCAUCGAAUCUUUGAACGCACAUUGCGCCCGCCAGUAUUCUGGCGGGCAUGCCUGUCCGAGCGUCAUUUCAACCCUCGAACCCCUCCGGGGGGUCGGCGUUGGGGACCUCGGGAGCCCCUAAGACGGGAUCCCGGCCCCGAAAUACAGUGGCGGUCUCGCCGCAGCCUCUCCUGCGCAGUAGUUUGCACAACUCGCACCGGGAGCGCGGCGCGUCCACGUCCGUAAAACACCCAACUUCUGAAAUGUUGAUCUCGGAUCAGGUAGGAAUACCCGCUGAACUUAAGCAUAUCAAUAACGGAGGA